RNAcentral lists this ribosomal RNA (253 nucleotides) under uncultured bacterium. Its description in RNAcentral is "partial 16S ribosomal RNA". It matches the Rfam family "Bacterial small subunit ribosomal RNA", at positions 524 to 776 of the family's 1533-position model. The record is from RNAcentral.
UACGUAGGUGGCAAGCGUUGUCCGGAAUUAUUGGGCGUAAAGCGCGCGCAGGUGGUUUCUUAAGUCUGAUGUGAAAGCCCACGGCUCAACCGUGGAGGGUCAUUGGAAACUGGGGAACUUGAGUGCAGAAGAGGAAAGUGGAAUUCCAAGUGUAGCGGUGAAAUGCGUAGAGAUUUGGAGGAACACCAGUGGCGAAGGCGACUGUCUGGUCUGUAACUGACACUGAGGCGCGAAAGCGUGGGGAGCGAACAGG